UGGGGAAUUUUGGACAAUGGGCGAAAGCCUGAUCCAGCAAUGCCGCGUGUGUGAAGAAGGCCUUCGGGUUGUAAAGCACUUUUGUCCGGAAAGAAAUCCUUGGCUCUAAUACAGUCGGGGGAUGACGGUACCGGAAGAAUAAGCACCGGCUAACUACGUGCCAGCAGCCGCGGUAAUACGUAGGGUGCAAGCGUUAAUCGGAAUUACUGGGCGUAAAGCGUGCGCAGGCGGUUUGCUAAGACCGAUGUGAAAUCCCGGGCUCAACCUGGGAACUGCAUUGGUGACUGGCAGGCUAGAGUAUGGCAGAGGGGGGUAGAAUUCCACGUGUAGCAGUGAAAUGCGUAGAGAUGUGGAGGAAUACCGAUGGCGAAGGCAGCCCCCUGGCAAGUACUGACGCUCAUGCACGAAAAGCGUGGGGAGCAAACAGGAUUAGAUACCCUGGUAGUCCACGCCCUAAANGAUGUCAACUAGUUGUUGGGGAUUCAUUUCCUUAGUAACGUAGCUAACGCGUGAAGUUGACCGCCUGGGGAGUACGGUCGCAAGAUUAAAACUUAAAUAAUUGACGGGGUCAU
RNAcentral lists this ribosomal RNA (572 nucleotides) under uncultured bacterium. RNAcentral's name for it is "partial 16S ribosomal RNA". It matches the Rfam family "Bacterial small subunit ribosomal RNA", at positions 355 to 922 of the family's 1533-position model. The record is from RNAcentral.